RNAcentral lists this unclassified non-coding RNA (366 nucleotides) under Zea mays. RNAcentral describes it as "misc RNA Zm00001eb382670". Lineage: Eukaryota; Viridiplantae; Streptophyta; Magnoliopsida; Poales; Poaceae. The record is from RNAcentral.
GCGCGGAGUGUGCUGGUCACGCGGCAGGAUCCUAAUGUGCGUCUUGGUCUCCAUCCUCAUUUGCUCUAUGAUCUUCCCACCUUUGCCGAGCAAGCAUCCGACGUGCAUCUUGGGCACGAUGAGUCGUGUGGUGGUCUUCCCCCUGUCCCUGGAGUCCUUGCCCCUGGGCCCAUACUCGCCAUCCUCGUCGCCGUCGUCAGCGUCGGUCUCGAGAAUCCGGCGGUGCACCAUGAGAAGGGCCUCUUGGGCCGGGGAGAACAUGGGCGGGCGGCCGUCUGCCUCGCGCCUCGCGCCGUCCACCGUCUCGAUGACCCGGACGUAGUCGCCCGCGAAGGGCGGGUGCACAGUGACAAGCGCGCCGCUGUC